UGUGUGAUCUUAUUGCAGAUAUUUUUGAAUUGAAAUGAAAUUAUCUAUCUAUUGUAAAAAAAAAAGAUUGAAGGACCAUCAUUUUUACUUUUAUAUUAUACACCCUUUUUUGUUGUUGAAUAUUAAGUGGAUGACAUUCCAAUGUUUCACCAUAGGUUGCUUUAAACUUAUUGUAACAGUGGGCAAUCAGAUGAAGAAUGGGGUUAAAUGGGCCAGGCCUGACCAUUCAAUUCCAUUCUUCAUCUGACUCUAAAACAACCUGAAACAAUUUGGAUGUAUGAGACAUGGAAUUAAAUAUAAAUAUUCCAUGAUAGAAACAUAACAUGCUUCUGUUUUUGCUGCUGUUUGGCUAUCAUUAUUGU
This 362-nucleotide long non-coding RNA is filed under the name Androctonus crassicauda. The record is from RNAcentral. Lineage: Eukaryota; Metazoa; Arthropoda; Arachnida; Scorpiones; Buthidae.